RNAcentral lists this ribosomal RNA (516 nucleotides) under Salmonella enterica subsp. enterica. Its description in RNAcentral is "bacterial SSU rRNA". It matches the Rfam family "Bacterial small subunit ribosomal RNA", at positions 1 to 508 of the family's 1533-position model. RNAcentral also lists the same sequence under 1 other name. The record is from RNAcentral. Lineage: Bacteria; Pseudomonadati; Pseudomonadota; Gammaproteobacteria; Enterobacterales; Enterobacteriaceae.
AAAUUGAAGAGUUUGAUCAUGGCUCAGAUUGAACGCUGGCGGCAGGCCUAACACAUGCAAGUCGAACGGUAGCACAGAGAGCUUGCUCUCGGGUGACGAGUGGCGGACGGGUGAGUAAUGUCUGGGAAACUGCCCGAUGGAGGGGGAUAACUACUGGAAACGGUAGCUAAUACCGCAUAAUGUCGCAAGACCAAAGUGGGGGACCUUCGGGCCUCACACCAUCGGAUGUGCCCAGAUGGGAUUAGCUUGUUGGUGGGGUAACGGCUCACCAAGGCGACGAUCCCUAGCUGGUCUGAGAGGAUGACCAGCCACACUGGAACUGAGACACGGUCCAGACUCCUACGGGAGGCAGCAGUGGGGAAUAUUGCACAAUGGGCGCAAGCCUGAUGCAGCCAUGCCGCGUGUAUGAAGAAGGCCUUCGGGUUGUAAAGUACUUUCAGCGGGGAGGAAGGCGUUGUGGUUAAUAACCGCAGCGAUUGACGUUACCCGCAGAAGAAGCACCGGCUAACUCCGUGC